This 726-nucleotide long non-coding RNA is filed under the name Mus spicilegus (steppe mouse). RNAcentral describes it as "lncRNA (ENSMSIG00000001875.1)". Lineage: Eukaryota; Metazoa; Chordata; Mammalia; Rodentia; Muridae. The record is from RNAcentral.
GCCCACACAUGCCCUCCCAGGUUAUGGGUCUGGUCUCACUGGGCCCGAGCAAGUACCACAGGGAACCUCUUACACUGAGGACUGUAUUGGGAAGGAGAGAAACCACUGACCAGAAGCAAAAAGGUGUCUCGGGAGGAAGGGGGUCACUGUUUCAAGCACUCUGCUCUCCAUCUUCUUCAGCACAAGUUCUUGGUGGCCUCAAUUCACGGUCUCUUCCUGUUGAUCAGCAGUAGGCAGAGACCACCUCCCUCAUCGCCACUUUGGGUUUGGACCGCUUUAAACAGUAGAGUGACUGUCGACGGCUCAGUCUACAGGGAGGAGAACAAAAGACAGGGUCAGGGCUGGGCAGACUGGACAGGAGCAGCAUAAGCCAGGCUCUAUGGAAUGUUGGGUGAGCUGUUUGAGGAACUCCAAGGCCUGUCCCACAGUCUUCCAGCCUCCGACUCUCCUGCCCUCAGCGUGGUCAGCAGAAGUCCCACUGGUUUUUUUGGUUGUUUUUUUUUAAGGUUUUUUUGUUUUUGUUUUUGUUUUUUUUUCUCAUUCCUGUCUUGGGAGCUUUCCCCAACCAGGAGAGUGAAGAUGGGCGGAGCUGUCACACCAACUGUUAGCCUGCCUUGGCUGAGAGGAGAGGAGGCGAGGAGGGAACGACCACCCAGCUUUAGUCGUUUUAAAACAGUUCCUGACCCUAGGAGAAGGGAAAUGGAGAUGAAGACUCAAUUGACUUGA